RNAcentral lists this long non-coding RNA (889 nucleotides) under Olea europaea subsp. europaea. Lineage: Eukaryota; Viridiplantae; Streptophyta; Magnoliopsida; Lamiales; Oleaceae. The record is from RNAcentral.
CUUGAUUUCGAUUUAGAAUUCUUUAUAUCUCUCUCAUUGCAGAAUUAUGCGGCAGAAGAAGAGCUAUGCUGUGUGUAUGUCCCAACAAACCAUCUAUACAUCGGUGACAUCUUUUUGGUCAAUGCCAAUGAUGUUAUAAGACCAAACUUGUCUGUCCGGGAAGGAAUUGGUAAGAGUUCCGCUUCUUUACUCACCAUGAUUACACUCUCUUCGUUUAAAGGAUGUACCUUAAUUAUUUUCCUCCUAAUGACUUUUUACCUUCGAACAAAUAAGCGUUCACUACAAUUCCACCUUCACGCACUAGCCACAUAUUAUAUCAAGAUUCUUCACUUAAUGUUGUUCUCUGUGUGUAACUGAUACUAUAUAUAAAUAUUAUCUGCCGACUUUUUACUUUGUUCCUUGCUCACAGAAAUUGUUGUAUCGGGUGGCAUGUCAAUGCCCCAAAUACUCUCUACCUUGGAUCCAAGAACUAUUCAGGUGGAUAGGAAUAGAUCUAACAGAAGCUGAGAUUGAAGACAUCAGAUGCAGCUGGUCGGAUUUCUCUAUACCUUUCUGUAUUGCAGAUUAAGUCGAUGAAUGGUAUGAGCACACAAUUCGCUUGUUUCGGCAUCUAAUCUGCAAUUAAUAUUUAAAUUAUUUUAAUUUUUCAAGUGUUAGAUUAUAAUCACAUGAUGUCCUAGUGUACAAUGUGGGGAAGUAGCAGUUGUGGAAAUAUAGUUUGCUAUGUUUUACGUAUUAAAAGAUUUAGUUGUUUAAGGUUAAAAGGAUCGUGUACUAAUGAGUUAGAAUUUAGUAACUUUUUCAUGAGCCUUGUGACACUCUUUUUGCAAUUAUAGUAAUGGUGGAUUCUUCGAUCCAUCUUCAUUAUCAAAUGUACUGACUGGUAUUA